RNAcentral lists this ribosomal RNA (253 nucleotides) under uncultured Glycomyces sp. RNAcentral describes it as "partial 16S ribosomal RNA". It matches the Rfam family "Bacterial small subunit ribosomal RNA", at positions 524 to 776 of the family's 1533-position model. The record is from RNAcentral. Lineage: Bacteria; Bacillati; Actinomycetota; Actinomycetes; Glycomycetales; Glycomycetaceae.
GACGUAGGGCGCGAGCGUUGUCCGGAUUUAUUGGGCGUAAAGGGCUCGUAGGCGGCCCGCUGCGUCUGCCGUGAAAGGCCUCGGCUUAACCGGGGUUUUGCGGUGGAUACGGGCGGGCUUGAGGCAAGUAGGGGAAACUGGAAUUCUACGUGUAGCGGUGAAAUGCGCAGAUAUGUGGAGGAACACCGGUGGCGAAGGCGGGUUUCUGGGCUUGUUCUGACGCUGAGGAGCGAAAGCGUGGGGAGCGAACAGG